RNAcentral lists this ribosomal RNA (352 nucleotides) under Xyela sp. Sus1. Its description in RNAcentral is "partial 16S ribosomal RNA". Lineage: Eukaryota; Metazoa; Arthropoda; Insecta; Hymenoptera; Xyelidae. The record is from RNAcentral.
AUAAUCAUUAGUCUUUUAAUUGAGGGCUGGAAUGAAUGAUUGAACGAAGUAUUAACUGUCUCAUUUUAAUUAUUAUUAGAAUUUAAUUUUUGAGUUAAAAAGCUUAAAUUUUAUUAAAGGACGAGAAGACCCUAUAGAGCUUUAUAUUAAUAUUAAUAAUAUUUUUUUAGUUUUAUUUUAAUUUUAUUAUUAAAAAUAUUUUAUUGGGGUGAUAGGAAGAUUAAAAUAACUCUUUUUUUUUUUUACACUAAUUAGUGAAUUUUUGAUCCUAUAUUAUAGAUUAUAAGACUAAGUUACCUUAGGGAUAACAGCGUAAUUUUUUUUGAGAGUUCAUAUCGACAAAAAGGAUUGC